Molecule: ribosomal RNA, 252 nt
Filed under: uncultured bacterium
Lineage: Bacteria
Description: partial 16S ribosomal RNA
Rfam family: Bacterial small subunit ribosomal RNA
Source: RNAcentral
UACGUAGGGGGCAAGCGUUGUCCGGAAUUAUUGGGCGUAAAGCGCGCGCAGGCGGUUAAUUAAGUUGGGUGUUUAAGCCCGGGGCUCAACCCCGGUUCGCAUCCAAAACUGGUUGACUUGAGUGUAGGAGAGGAAAGUGGAAUUCCACGUGUAGCGGUGAAAUGCGUAGAGAUCCGGAGGAACACCAGUGGCGCAGGCGGCUCUCUGGGUCGGCCCUGACGCUGAGGCGCGAAAGCGUGGGGAGCGAACGGG